Long non-coding RNA from Bos taurus (domestic cattle), 1725 nucleotides. NCBI's taxonomy places the organism in Eukaryota, Metazoa, Chordata, Mammalia, Artiodactyla, Bovidae. The record is from Ensembl.
AAGAUGCAAUGUAGGCAUCUUCUGGUUUCUCAAACUUCCAUUGUAUUAGAAUCACUUGGGGCACUUGGUAAAAAUAACGUCUUGGGUCCUUCAAUGAACCUGUCUCUUUAUCAGCUUUCAGGUGAUUCCCACACACACACCAGAGUUUGAUAACUGCUGCUUUAGAAGAUGGCUAAAAAUAGCUUAGGCUUAAGUAGUCUCAGGCUAACUCAUACACUGUUAACCCCCCACCCUGCCAGGGGCAGGCCCAAUCUGCCAACCGCAGGACAGAUUCUUCCAGACUUCUGUAAGAGGUAGCAGAGUCUUUAGCUUUUCAGAAGAAGGCUUAGUGAUCCAAAUAAGUCCCUGGCGGUGGUCAGGAGAGCUCAGUUUUAAUCUUGUGGUCGAAAAACUAAUCUUAGACCAGUCCUCUACCCUUCGUAUUGGUAUUGCUCACUGUCUGCAUUACUAUGGAAAAUUACGCAUUGUUUGUAUGGAUACUGCAGGAAGAACGAGGGCGCUGCAGCCAUAGGCCAGCACUAGGCAACAGCCCUGCAGCCCAGUGAGUCCAGUGAGGGCAUGGGGCAUGACUGGAGACUGAGGCAUCGGAGGAGGAGGAGCAGUGAGCAUGGCCUGGGAAGGAGCUGGCAGCAAGCAGUGCCAGUCAUUCCAUUGUCUGGGGAACAGCCAGCAAUAGACAAACGUAAUUAACUACUAAUGAAUGCAACUUUAUCUGGUACCUUCGGAAGGUGGCGUCUGUUUUAAGAAAAAUCACCCCUGGAGAAAUAAGUGUUGACUGACCGCUGUCACAAGGAGAGGGUCAUAAAUUGUCAGCAGGCCCCCCUGGCCAGAAGAUGAUGUAACACCCCUAAGACCUCUGUAUACAUUUGUAUGAAGCACCUGACUUUGAUAAAAGUUAGGACUGCUGACCCCGCGUGACUUUUGUAUAACAUCUCAGUGUAUAAAAACAGACUCUGGAAAAUAAAGAAUUGGGAUCAGUUCCUCGAAAUACUGGUCUCCCCAUGUCGUUCUCUCUCUCUCAAACUCUGGCUGAGUCUCCAUCUGGAGCGCGGAGCCCGCCGUGCUUACUAAUUAUGCCUGGGCUUCUAAGAUCCGACCGGGGAGGCCUCAGUGUCUCCUCUCCUUUGGGAGAACGGAAGGAUGUCUGCGGCCUAUGUAAGUGGUGCAAGCUUCUUGUCUUGAAGUUUUAUUGGUUUCCCACAUAAACCAAGCUACUCAGCCUCUUUUCUCCACUGAAUUUUCCUGCUGAGCUAUCCUCAUUCUUUUACUCUUUAUAUCUCUAAUUAAUAUUUAAAUAAGUUGCUGAUGCCGUCCCUGGUUCGAAUACACUGGAUCAACUGGGGCUGGACCCUGGCAUAUUUCCUCUCUGCUCCACAAUGCUCUUUGUCAUUUCCCUCUCUGUUGCUUACUUCUCACUACCUGCAUCAGCCUCAUUACUAUUCCUCACUCAUUUCAAGCAGAGUAAAUAUUCAAGGCCUUUGUGCUUGUGCUUGUCUCUGUCUUUGUUCUGUGCGUGGGCCAGGCUGUGUGUUAGGUUGUUAGAUUAGGCCUUCUGAGAUUCCCAAACUCCCCACAGACCCACCUGUGAGAGGGGUUCCUACUGUGUGGAAACUUUUUUCUCCUUCAUGACUCCCUCCUCAGGACAGGUCUGUGUCCCUAACUCUUUUGACUCUCUUUUUGCCUUUUAUAAGCUAGCUGGCUACCUACCAGCCCCUACCUGUCUUU